This 203-nucleotide ribosomal RNA is filed under the name Entomoneis sp. RCC4488. Its description in RNAcentral is "partial 18S ribosomal RNA". The stretch from base 45 to 203 matches the Rfam family "Eukaryotic small subunit ribosomal RNA", at positions 747 to 907 of the family's 1831-position model. The record is from RNAcentral. Lineage: Eukaryota; Bacillariophyta; Bacillariophyceae; Surirellales; Surirellaceae.
GGGUGGAACCUGUGUGGCAUUAGGUUGUCGUGCAGGGGAUGCUCAUCGUUUACUGUGAAAAAAUUAGAGUGUUCAAAGCAGGCUUAUGCCGUUGAAUAUAUUAGCAUGGAAUAAUAAGAUAGGACCUUGGUACUAUUUUGUUGGUUUGCGCACCGAGGUAAUGAUUAACAGGGACAGUUGGGGGUAUUCGUAUUCCAUUGUCA